Molecule: long non-coding RNA, 231 nt
Filed under: Gossypium barbadense (sea-island cotton)
Lineage: Eukaryota; Viridiplantae; Streptophyta; Magnoliopsida; Malvales; Malvaceae
Description: long non-coding RNA (GBAR_LNC012800)
Source: RNAcentral
UUCAAAAUGUCACAGAGUUUCACAUCCUUACUAAAGAUUCACUCAAAUCACUCGAGGUGUUUAAGGAAAAUAAAUGAAGCACUCAAUAGUCAAUAAUGAAAAGUCAUUACCAUAGGCUUGCAUGAAAAUCAAAUCUCCACAAUUAUAUAUUAAAAUGAACAUCAAUCAAAAGGUCUUUAAAGGGUUGUAACGUGGCUUUUGUUAGGGGGUGUGGUCACAAGUUGAAAGAGA